Molecule: ribosomal RNA, 497 nt
Filed under: uncultured bacterium
Lineage: Bacteria
Description: partial 16S ribosomal RNA
Rfam family: Bacterial small subunit ribosomal RNA
Source: RNAcentral
GAUGAACGCUGGCGGCGUGCCUAAUACAUGCAAGUCGAGCGAACAGACGAGGAGCUUGCUCCUCUGACGUUAGCGGCGGACGGGUGAGUAACACGUGGAUAACCUACCUAUAAGACUGGGAUAACUUCGGGAAACCGGAGCUAAUACCGGAUAAUAUAUUGAACCGCAUGGUUCAAUAGUGAAAGACGGUUUUGCUGUCACUUAUAGAUGGAUCCGCGCCGGAUUAGCUAGUUGGUAAGGUAACGGCUUACCAAGGCGACGAUGCGUAGCCGACCUGAGAGGGUGAUCGGCCACACUGGAACUGAGACACGGUCCAGACUCCUACGGGAGGCAGCAGUGGGGAAUCUUCGACAAUGGGCGAAAGCUUGACGCAGCAACGCCGCGUGAGUGAUGAAGGUCUUCGGAUCGUAAAACUCUGUUAUUAGGGAAGAACAAAUGUGGAAGUAACUAUGGACGUCUUGACGGUACCUAAUCAAAAAGCAACGGCUAACUACGUG